Molecule: long non-coding RNA, 281 nt
Organism: Gracilinanus agilis (Agile Gracile Mouse Opossum)
Lineage: Eukaryota; Metazoa; Chordata; Mammalia; Didelphimorphia; Didelphidae
Exons: 3
Source: RefSeq, a predicted model, not a curated record
GACGCCAUCUGUGCCAUCUUUGUCAUAGUCAUUGCCUUUGGUUCCCUGAUUCUUGCCCAAACUCUGAACGCUGGGCAAGUUGGGUUGGCAUUAUCCUAUGCCAUCACUCUCAUGGGAAUGUUUCAGUGGGGAGUUAGACAAAGUGCCGAAGUUGAGAAUAUGAUGAUAUCUGUAGAAAGAGUAAUUGAGUAUACAGAUAUUGAAAACGAAGCCCCUUGGGAAUCCAAGAAACCACCACCAUCAGCCUGGCCGCACGAAGGAGUGAUCAUCUUUGAUAAUGU